GCCCACCCUACGGCGCCCGGGGUUCGCGGCCCCGCGGCGGAGCGCGGAACUGCCCUGGGCGCUUUCCCGGGCUUGGCACGGAGGAUCCCGGCGGGGAUCUCAGGGCUCGCGCGGGCGAUGCGCAACGAAGAAAGACGCGGAGCUGUGUUCGUGCUGGGUGCCGUCGGAGGGCCAGGAGGCGGGGUGCGCUCGCCACCCCCCACCCCCCAGGUCGGGGUGGGGAUGCUGGCAAUUGGGAACCCCCGCGGCGAGGUCCCAUCAUCUCCGCGGGGCCUGAGCGCAGAGCCCGGGGCUGACGGCGCUUUGGCCUUGGAUGGAAAGUGGCGAAGGGCCCCGGACCCCUAACGUGGAUUACUUGGUGUGUGUCAGCCGGGCUCAGAAGACCCACGACCUCGUCUCCAUGCUUGGAUCGAUUCAUUCUACCUGUAGCGGUCGGGUCGCUUCCCUGGAGGUGAAAUCAGAGCUUUGAGGCUGACCUGGGGAGGUGCUCCGAGCCAAGAAAAGAAGGACAAGAAAGAAGCUGUCUUCUGUUGACACAGACGCGCCACCAGCUGUGAAGACCCCUUCUCUCAGAUGGCGGUUGGGGCCCAUGCCAGCGCCUGGUGC
Molecule: long non-coding RNA, 606 nt
Organism: Lontra canadensis (Northern American river otter)
Lineage: Eukaryota; Metazoa; Chordata; Mammalia; Carnivora; Mustelidae
Exons: 3
Source: RefSeq, a predicted model, not a curated record